Molecule: ribosomal RNA, 429 nt
Filed under: Bacteroidota bacterium
Lineage: Bacteria; Pseudomonadati; Bacteroidota
Description: Bacteroidetes bacterium partial 16S ribosomal RNA
Rfam family: Bacterial small subunit ribosomal RNA
Source: RNAcentral
UAGGGAAUCUUCCGCAAUGGACGCAAGUCUGACGGAGCAACGCCGCGUGAGUGAAGAAGGAUUUCGGUUCGUAAAACUCUGUUGUUAGAGAAGAACAGCGCAUAGAGUAACUGUUAUGCGUGUGACGGUAUCUAACCAGAAAGCCACGGCUAACUACGUGCCAGCAGCCGCGGUAAUACGUAGGUGGCAAGCGUUGUCCGGAUUUAUUGGGCGUAAAGCGAGCGCAGGCGGUCAAUUAAGUCUGAUGUGAAAGCCCCCGGCUCAACCGGGGAGGGGCAUUGGAAACUGGUUGACUUGAGUGCAGAAGAGGAGAGUGGGAGUCCAUGUGUAGCGGUGAAAUGCGUAGAUAUAUGGAGGAACACCAGUGGCGAAGGCGACUCUCUGGUCUGUAACUGACGCUGAGGCUCGAAAGCGUGGGUAGCAAACAGG